GGCUCGUUGGUCUAGGGGUAUGAUUCUCGCUUAGGGUGCGAGAGGUCCUGAGUUCAAAUCCCGGAAGAACCC
This 72-nucleotide transfer RNA is filed under the name Perca fluviatilis (European perch). It matches the Rfam family "tRNA". Rfam says of the family: Transfer RNA (tRNA) molecules are approximately 80 nucleotides in length. Their secondary structure includes four short double-helical elements and three loops (D, anti-codon, and T loops). The record is from Rfam by way of RNAcentral. Lineage: Eukaryota; Metazoa; Chordata; Actinopteri; Perciformes; Percidae.